GGAUUUUCUUUUUAAUUAAAUACCACUUCAUAAUGCUAUUUGCACAUAGCACACACAUUUUUUUGAAAAAUAAGACAUGCCAUACAUUAGUCACUAAAUUAACAAAAUGUGAGCAUCCACAUAGAAUAUAUUCUAAGGUGACUUUAUUUACACAGCUUCUCAGAGGAACACACAGUAAAAUUUUUUGCCUGUCAGCCAGUGUUGGACCAGAUUUGGAAUUCACAAGGCUGCGGGUUGGAGGUUCCCCAACACUACCCUGAUGGACAUCUUGUCUCCACACUGUGCCAUCAAGCUGCCUCGUUUCCACCAGAAAAGCAAUGGAGAUGUCAAUCCUCCCUUGCCUACCCAGCGUUCAAUUCCAUCCUGCAAAACCCUCGCAUGACCUGAGGCUUCAUGUGAUGGCAUGUCAGACCUGCAGCUUCGUGGGAGGGGUGGGGGUGGGUGGAGUGGGGCUAAGCUCCCUUCAAAAGCUGCAGGCACCCAUCUGUGAAGAACUGCUUUUACUAUCUGAUUAGGGACCCCAGAAUCCCAGCCUUUAGAAGAGGG
Long non-coding RNA from Balaenoptera musculus (blue whale), 546 nucleotides. RefSeq lists it as uncharacterized. NCBI's taxonomy places the organism in Eukaryota, Metazoa, Chordata, Mammalia, Artiodactyla, Balaenopteridae. The record is from RefSeq and is a predicted model, not a curated record. The transcript is spliced from 2 exons.